GACGAACGCUGGCGGCGUGCUUAACACAUGCAAGUCGAACGGAAAGGCCCUGCUCUUGCGGGGUGCUCGAGUGGCGAACGGGUGAGUAACACGUGAGUAACCUGCCCCUGACUUUGGGAUAACAUCUGGAAAAUGGGGCUAUUACCGCAUAGGAGCUUUUGCUGCAUGUUGGGGGUAGGAAAGUUUCGGGGGUUGGGGAUGGACUCGCUGGUUAUCAGCUUGUUGGGGGGGUAGUGGAGUACCAAGGGUUUGAAGGGUAGCCGGCCUGAGAGGGUGACCAGCCACAUUGGGACUGAGGUACGGCCCAGAAUCCUACGGGAGGCAGCAGUGGGGAAUAUUGCGCAAUGGGCGGGAGCCUGAUGCAGCAACGCCGCGUGCGGGAUGACGGCCUUCGGGUUGUAAACCGCUUUCGCCUGUGACGAAGCGUGAGUGACGGUAAUGGGUAAAGAAGCACCGGCUAACUACGUG
RNAcentral lists this ribosomal RNA (468 nucleotides) under uncultured bacterium. RNAcentral's name for it is "partial 16S ribosomal RNA". It matches the Rfam family "Bacterial small subunit ribosomal RNA", at positions 28 to 507 of the family's 1533-position model. The record is from RNAcentral.